GCCGGAAGUAAUGAAGCAGAUGCCGCCUCUUCCGGUGAAGGUGAACGAAGAGUUAGCGAACACGAUCCUUCCACCGACUGCUCAUUCCUUGCAAUCAUGAAAAGCCUUCAACAAAAACUGGUUCAGCAAACAACAGAUUCUCCCUUUCAAAUCAGUUCCACAAACAUGGAAAGGAGAGUAGAUUUUCUCAAUUGAACCUUACCUUCCCAAUUCAGAGUUUUCUG
This 224-nucleotide unclassified non-coding RNA is filed under the name Hevea brasiliensis (rubber tree). Lineage: Eukaryota; Viridiplantae; Streptophyta; Magnoliopsida; Malpighiales; Euphorbiaceae. The record is from RNAcentral.